This is a long non-coding RNA of Magnolia sinica, 942 nucleotides long. RefSeq lists it as uncharacterized. NCBI's taxonomy places the organism in Eukaryota, Viridiplantae, Streptophyta, Magnoliopsida, Magnoliales, Magnoliaceae. The transcript is spliced from 3 exons. The record is from RefSeq and is a predicted model, not a curated record.
UAUUAUCUCACUUGGUUUGGGUUGGCACAGGAUAAUGCAAACUGUGUUAAGUUAGAUUUCUUUUACGCUCUAUUGCUGCCCCAAAUUGCAAUUGGGUUUGCCCAUUGCCCAUUCUCUAUUCCAAAAGUGAAGCUUCCAAAUGCACCCUGACAUUUAAACACCUUUCAAGCUCUUUUUAAAACUUUUCAUAUUAUUGCUAAAGUAAUUUGUGAGGGAAAAAAAUGUAAAUCACAACAUGUGUAUACCCGUGCCACAUGAGCCGACUCAAUCAUCCGGCGAGCCAUGCUUGUGCUAAGAAAAUGGACAGAAAACCACCAACUACAGCAUGUUUGGCAUAGGAAAAUGGACAGAAAACCAUCAACUACAGCAUGUUUGGCAUAGGAAAAUCUCUUAGUUUGGAACAUCUUAGCCACAUAUCGUACAUGUGACCCAAGUUGAAACUUGGUUGUGUACAUGAUUCCCAUCCACCACUAAUGGAUGGUUGGAUAUCUAGGAACAGAGUCUCAUUUAGAAACGAGAAUGUAUGAAUCUUGCUGUAGAAUUAUUUUAACUGCUCCAAUUUUAUCUUUGUUAAUUAUAGUUUCUGUUGUAGGUUGUGAGAUGUGAGUUGUCGGUUGUCCCUACAAGGGAAUUACCAUCUGAGGAAUGUCCAACCUACCUCUCUAGUUCCCAAUCAACUAUAUUUUAAUCCUACUACUGUGAAAAUGUUGAGCAACCUGAAGUAUGAAAGCAAUGCACGGUUCAUGAGGUGGUCAACAUGUGUAGUAAGCUUUCGGAUCAAAGCAAAGCCGAGAAUAGGGUGUUAGUUGAUGGAAAAUUGAUAACCAGUAGAGGCACAUCCAUGGAGUUGUCGCUUGCGAUUGUUGAGAAGCUAUUUGGCUGCGAGAAGGCAUUGGAUCUUGUUGUCAAUGAGAACUUUAAAUAGACAUAUAACUUUUAUGU